CAAUGAGAUGGAAGACUUUCUAGAUGGAAGACUUCUAAUAGAAAUUACUCUUGAAUGGGGCAGAUUUCAUUUUGUUAAAUUCACAAGUAGCCGCUAUUGUUCUGAUUAUGGUGGGAUGGAGGGAGGACACUGAACCUGAAAAGGAUUUCAGAGCUGCAGAGGGGACAGCAGGAAAGGUAGCAUCAGCAAGGACAAAGACAUAUCACUUUUUCCAUAGUUGUGUUUGAGCCUGAUCUUCUAAGCCAAUGUCUAUCAAUGUCAACAUCAUCUCCAUUUUCUGGUCUCUUAGGUGGGCUUCAGGAUGCCUGUGCAAUUAUAAAGAGCAAAUGGGCCAAUUGAAAAUAGCAGUUCAAAGGACUCUCCUCAUUUGCAAGGUCUUCCACAGCUCUCAAACUAUUGCUUCCCAUGCACAUCACAAGGGCAGAGAGUGGAGGCAGCAGAGGUAGUGUGGGGGACCAGCUUGGUGAGAGCACUACAGAGCUGGUGCCGAGACUCCCUCUCUUCAUCCUUGUUCAGAUGGCACUUCCACCACUUGGAAGGGGCUGCAGGAAGCCUGGGAAUUAAUUUCUUAGCACCACCUCCACAAAGUUCUCCAUAAACAUUGAUUGACUCAGUGAAUCAGUCCCGGAACUAAGAUGAAUAUGAAUUUCCCGCAAGUUCCCCAACCUUGGGAGGCCUGGUGGCCUCUGUGUGCUCUGUUACCUGUGCCCGGCACUGGUUCACUCUCAAUCAACACUGAGGACCCCGCCCAGCAGGCACUCCCAGCACAUGAGUGGAGUGGGGUGUAAGAGUGGAGAGCUGGGAAGAAGGACCCUAGAGGCAACCCCAAGGGUGGAAGAGAGAGGCUGCCUUAUGGACCCCUAAAAAGGAAGGGGGUGUGCAUUGGCUCCAGCAACUCCCUUUUGUGGUGUACUUUUGGCCACUGCACAUGAUUUCUAUUCAUCUCCUCCCAGUCUCUUGUGUAGCUCAGUCUUGCCUUUUCUUUCCUGGUUUCUGUUUUGCACAAAAAAAGGUUUUUUAAGCAUUGGUGGAACCAGAAGAUCAGGAUCAGGGGAACAGGAUGUGUUGCAUAUUUUUCUUCCCCUAGAACUGUCCCCUGCUCAUGAUGUCAGUCUAGGCUUGGGGCACAGAGGCCAGGUGACAGGGAAGAAAUGCCCUGGGCAACUGGUUGGGACAGAGGCUGCACUCGGCAAGUCCUGGUUAAGGCCCACAUCCCUGGGUGGCAGAGAGGUCUCCACCAUCCCCAUUUCCAUUUAUACAUCAAAUUCUUUAAGGGCUCAGAGAGGAGCAGAAUGGAGAAGAGGCAGCAGUCUAAUGGCUUGGUGAUGAGCUUAUGGCCUAUGGGAAGUGCCUUCAAGAUGUCAAUAGAUGUUCUCUGACACAGCUGCUGCCAUAAUGACACCACCCAGCAGCACUCUCACAGCUUCUGCCCCUCCAGCUUUCCUCUUCUCUUAAAGCCCUGGCUGAGUCAGAUACUGAGUGUCUCCCCUGAAAGUGGCUCAGGUAGUUACCUCCCAAGAUAUUGUUCAGUAAGUCUUCUAGUUAGUAGGAGAUGCUUGUUACAAGUUGGGGUGGCUGAGCAACCUUUGUCCCCUGAGAGGCAGCAUGUUGUAACAUUUAAUAGGGAUUCCUGGGUUCUGUCUAAUCCUGGAGCAGUCACUAACUUACCAUGAAAUUUAUAAGUCCCUUCCCCAAUCAGCCUGUUUCCUCCCCUUGUUCUGCUUGACCAUAGCAUCCCUGUCCUAAGGGGUCUGCAGAGCCUAGAGAUGGGUGUAAGCAGGUCAGGCUCUUCACUGCCAUGGUCAUUUACUGGUUUUCUAUGCUCCACAUAAGGUGAGAGGCAGAGACACAGCCUUUCUGGGUUGGGUCCCUUCGUAGGAAGGAAGGAGCUGUGGGGAGAAGGUAGGCCUUCACAUAGGGUGAGCCUGUUCUGGGCCCAACACCACUGGGAGGCAUGAAAAACAACCCCUUAGGAGUAAGAGAGAAAACCUCUGAAGACAGCAUGGUUAACUUUCAAUCUUAUGGUGUUAACAGCCACACUAGAAAAUUAGGAGAUGAAAGUGUAAGUAGUCUUCAAGGCUAUGGAAGGGAGGUAACACCCCAAGAGAUAGGAGGCUGGGACACUCAGUCUUCUGAGAGCAUGUGGUCUGCAGAAAUGCCAGUCAAAGCAGGGUCUGCAUUACUCAGAAAACAAUAUUAGAGACUUUCCCAGAAGAUAAGGACAAUUUCAGUGACAAGGGAAAACAUAUACAUAUACUACUUCACCAAAGUGACCCACAGUAAUCCUUUACCUUAUUAGCAUAGUAAAAUGCACACCCCUGGGUGGACACUUAGAAUAGUAAUGAGACAUGCGAUGCAUGAAGAAUGAUAGAAGGGAGUGUAGGCCCAGCUAAAGCCCCAACUCCACAUGAGAUGACAUCAAGAGAUGGAGUUCACCCUAUAGAUGUCACAAAAGCUAUUCCCCCUUUGUUCUUUGCUUGAGAUCAGCCUGGGAGCUUAGUCCCUCCUGUGCUAUCUCCCUUUUGCUUCAGGUAGAAAACUCCCCCCACCAUUUUUUUUUUUUUGCUGAAGCCGGCCUGGGGUCUCUAUCCCUCAAAGCUGUGUCCCUUCUGACUCAAAGUCCUUAAUAAAGGCUUGCCCGUGCCUAAAUUCAUUCUGGGUCCAUUGUUCAUUUCUACACCUCUGGAUCCAAAAACCCAAGUUGGGUAAUAGUAUGAGUGCAGUUCUUGGGCCAGCCCAGGCUUCAGGUAGAUGGUGCUGAAACCGCAUGGAUUCUACUCGGACCUUACAGACUCAUGAGCAUGAGACUAUGGGCUACUAACCCUCUUGGGCCUCUCCAGUAGUCCUGCCUCACAGCUCUUCCCUGGUGAGAACUGGGAAUCUCAAGAGGCUCUUCAGAUUCACUGGCGGUAGCCAUAUUCCCUAUCACAUAAGUUUGUGCCUUGUAAGAAAAUUAACAAAGGCAGAUAAGUAAAAAAAUAAAAAUAAAUAAAGAAAAGAAAGAAAGCAUUAUCCAUUCCUCCCAUUCCUCAAUAAUAAGAGUGUGGGAUACUUCCUUCCAGUUCUUUCCUAUGCAUCUCUACACAUAUAAAACACAAACAUGUAUUUAUGAACAUAAUAAAAGUGUACUUUUACUACUAUUUUUCUAUCACCUGUAAUAAAUGCUUUAAAAAUAAUCACAAUUAUUAAAUAAUUCCCAUUAUUAUACCAAUGAAAUGAACCAUUCCUUCAUAUCUCAUACCAAAUCAAUUUUCCCUAAUUAAAAAUAAAGGUUACUUUUUUAUACUGCUUUUCUUGGAAUUUAAACAAACACCUUACUGGUGAUUGAUAUGGUUCCUUCAAUCUGUGAUCAUUCUCCAUUUUGGUUUAAAUGCCAUUAAUGUUGAAGAAACUGGGUCUUUUGUUCUCUUAGAUACUAUUUUGUAAACCUACCUUUUUUCUUUAUUUAAUAAAUUGCU
RNAcentral lists this long non-coding RNA (3458 nucleotides) under Marmota monax (woodchuck). Lineage: Eukaryota; Metazoa; Chordata; Mammalia; Rodentia; Sciuridae. The record is from RNAcentral.